UUACGUGUUUAUAGAUUGCCCAACAAAUGAAAAGGAAUUGCAGUUAACUUUGAUGCUACUGAAACAAGCGUUGCAUCUCUGCUAUGGUUUUUUAUCUGUUAGCUUUACAUCUUGGAAACUGUUAUAGUUAAUUAAUUAAGAAGAACAUUAGAAUACCUCCAGAUGCCAUUAAAUUAUGGUUGUGUCAGUCCCCAAUCGCUCCAGAAAGUAGCUGUAUGUUUGGCCCUAAAACAAUCAUGAAAAUGCAAUCCAUUAGGAAUAGAGACAGUGUGUUGUUGCUGAAUAAAUGAUUUACGAUAAUAAACUAAUAGAUUGUUGUAACAAAUUAGAAGGAAUUGGUGCUACUGAAACAACCGAUGCUUUUGAUGUUUUCACCUUGCAACAUUAUGCAGUUAAUUUUGGCCCUGAGAUUGGGAGGCAAUUGGAAAUUAAUUUGGAAGCCACUGAAACAACAAAUUGCCUGCUGUGGCAUCCCUCCUAUAUUUAGUUUGCUCAUUAUACUGGUAGAUUUUAGAACGCUGCUUUCUACAGUUAAUUAAGAUCGUGCAACAAAUGAGAGAAAGUUGACGUUUGGUUUGGUCGUACUGGAACAACCAAUGUCUACAUGGGUGUGGUCUUUUGUAAUUCAUAUUCUUGAUUUGCUGUUUUCGCCUUCAUUUUGCAACAUUAUGCAGUUAAUUUUCAACCGACGAGUAAGAGCAACUGGAGGUUUAUUUGAAUUCCACUGAAAUAACAAAUUUUCUGCGGUGAUAUUCCUCUUGGAUUUGGUUUACUUUUCUCAC
Agrilus planipennis (emerald ash borer) is the source of this 782-nucleotide long non-coding RNA. RefSeq lists it as uncharacterized. The record is from RefSeq and is a predicted model, not a curated record. The transcript is spliced from 4 exons. Lineage: Eukaryota; Metazoa; Arthropoda; Insecta; Coleoptera; Buprestidae.